UGUCCCCGGAGCUGGAGCCCGGUUUGGCCCAAUGCUCAGAGAAACGAAGCAACUCAAUAAAAACUUUUGAUAUUAGUUUUUAUGGGUCUUUACACUCUGGUGAGGGGAGCCGAGUACGGAAGCUCCAUUAAUCAGCCCUCAACCUUGGGUUUGGAUACUCAGUUUAU
Unclassified non-coding RNA from Marmota marmota marmota (Alpine marmot), 167 nucleotides. Lineage: Eukaryota; Metazoa; Chordata; Mammalia; Rodentia; Sciuridae. The record is from Ensembl.